UUUUGUUUUGUUUUAAUGCUAAAGGGUAGUUCAAAGAUAAUUUUGUCUUUUUAUAACUCCCAAACAUUAUUUAUAAUUAGUUUUGGAUCUUAUUGUCCACUUUUAAUUUUAUGAAAAAUUUGAUUAUAUUAUAGAUGAACCAACGGGAGAAUGAAACUUUGUUACCUAGUCUCUGCACUCUUGCUCACUCCUCGCUAUGGCGGUUUGUAUAGCUCUUCGUUAUACAGUGUGAUUAUUACAAGGUCUACCUCAUUAUGAAAAUAUGAGAAAUGACAUGUGUUUUAAGGUAUAUAAGUAAGAAAUUAAAUAUAAAAAUAUUUUAUUGGAAAUUAUGCAUAUUAAUGUUUUAGAAAUUUAAAAUCUUAUCUUUAUAAAAUAAAAUUUAUAUUUUAAUUUCAUUUUUAGUUUCUUAAGGCACAAGUUGGAAUGACUCUAAAAAUGUUUAGAUUAGAAAAGAUAUAUACAAAUAAUUCAAAUGGUUAAUGAAUUUAAGUGGUUAGUAAGUUUCUUCAAAAUACGAAUUAUUUAAGAGUAUCUUACUUUGAUUACUAUAUGAAAUCAUUUUUAGUCAAAUUUAAAUUUUUUUUGUUGAACUCCAGAUUUUUAUAGUUCAUUUAUCUAAGAAUCAGAGUGUUAAUGAAAAAAAUAGUUUACUGAAUAUGUAUGAUCGCUUUAAAUUACUUAGUUUUAUUAUGAUUCCAAAGUGAUUAUAGGUCACAUUAUUUAUAUAGUCUGUCAUUGGCCUAGUACACCAAAGAGCUUUGUCAUAUAAAAAAGGAAUAUAGUUCAUAAUUUAUGAUUCCAGAUUUUAUUUUAUUUUUUUCUUUAAAAAAAAUGAUUUUUUAUUUAUUUAUAACAAACUAAAAAAAUUAUAUAUUUGAAGAAAUAGUGAAAUUAAGAAUCAUAGGUAAGUUUUUUUUUUAAAAAAAAAAUCAUAGGUAAAAGAACCAAGAAGAAAAUACACUAAAACUUUAUCCUUUUAAGUAAAUAUAGUUUUAUCGACCAAAGUAUUACAAAAUUUUACUAUAUUUAACUCAAGUACCGGCUUUAAAGGGCAUUCACAUGUAUAUUUAUAUUCCAACUCAUUUUUACAUUAUAACUAAAAACAAAUCACUUUAGUUAAAAUUACUUUUAACUAAAAUUAAUUAUAAAUAAUAAAUUCUAUCAAAAUAAAUUCUCUCCAUCGUAUAGUCAAACACACGCUAUGACAAUAAAGACAUCUUAAUUGUUUUCAUCUUAAAUUGAUAUACGAGAGUGUGUAUGAGAUAAAUAUUUUAUUGUAAAAGCAAAGGAAAAAGAAAACAGCAAUGAUCACAAACACUCACUUCAUGUGUGUCCACAUGACACAUAAUUUAUAUCGUUUUU
Molecule: long non-coding RNA, 1365 nt
Filed under: Medicago truncatula (barrel medic)
Lineage: Eukaryota; Viridiplantae; Streptophyta; Magnoliopsida; Fabales; Fabaceae
Description: lncRNA gene24375
Source: RNAcentral